This 60-nucleotide microRNA precursor is filed under the name Microcaecilia unicolor. Its description in RNAcentral is "Mun-Mir-133-P3-v2_pre stem-loop". It matches the Rfam family "mir-133 microRNA precursor family", at positions 8 to 68 of the family's 74-position model. Rfam says of the family: mir-133 was first experimentally characterised in mouse and homologues have since been discovered in several other species. The mature sequence is excised from the 3' arm of the hairpin. Lineage: Eukaryota; Metazoa; Chordata; Amphibia; Gymnophiona; Siphonopidae. The record is from RNAcentral.
AGCUGGUAAAAUGGAACCAGAUCAACUGUUGAAUGGAUUUGGUCCCCUUCAACCAGCUGU